AGUGAACGCUGGCGGUAGGCCUAACACAUGCAAGUCGAACGGCAGCACAGUAAGAGCUUGCUCUUACGGGUGGCGAGUGGCGGACGGGUGAGGAAUACAUCGGAAUCUACUUUUUCGUGGGGGAUAACGUAGGGAAACUUACGCUAAUACCGCAUACGACCUACGGGUGAAAGCAGGGGAUCUUCGGACCUUGCGCGAUUGAAUGAGCCGAUGUCGGAUUAGCUAGUUGGCGGGGUAAAGGCCCACCAAGGCGACGAUCCGUAGCUGGUCUGAGAGGAUGAUCAGCCACACUGGAACUGAGACACGGUCCAGGCUCCUACGGGAGGCAGCAGUGGGGAAUAUUGGACAAAGGGCGCAAGCCUGAUCCAGCCAUACCGUGUGGGUGAAGAAGGCCUUCGGGUUGUAAAGCCCUUUUGUUGGGAAAGAAAAGCAGCAGGUUAAUACCCCGCUGUUCUGACGGUACCCAAAGAAUAAGCACCGGCUAACUUCGUG
This 492-nucleotide ribosomal RNA is filed under the name uncultured bacterium. Its description in RNAcentral is "partial 16S ribosomal RNA". It matches the Rfam family "Bacterial small subunit ribosomal RNA", at positions 29 to 507 of the family's 1533-position model. The record is from RNAcentral.